UGAACGCUGGCGGUAUGCUUAACACAUGCAAGUCGAACGGAAACGAUACUAGCUUGCUAGUAGGCGUCGAGUGGCGGACGGGUGAGUAACGCGUAGGAAUCUGCCUGAUAGUGGGGGAUAGCCCGAAGAAAUUCGGAUUAAUACCGCAUAAUCUAUUCGUAGUAAAGUGGGGGACUUUCGAGCCUCACGCUAUCAGAUGAGCCUGCGUAAGAUUAGCUUGUUGGUAGGGUAAAAGCCUACCAAGGCGACGAUCUUUAGCUGGUCUGAGAGGAUGAUCAGCCACAUCGGGACUGAGACACGGCCCGAACUCCUACGGGAGGCAGCAGUGGGGAAUAUUGGACAAUGGGGGCAACCCUGAUCCAGCAAUACCGCGUGUGUGAAGAAGGCCUGAGGGUUGUAAAGCACUUUCAAUUGUGAAGAAAAGUUAGCGGUUAAUAACCGUUAGCCUUGACGUUAACUUUAGAAGAAGCACCGGCUAACUCCGUGCCAGCAGCCGCGGUAAUACGGAGGGUGCAAGCGUUAAUCGGAAUUACUGGGCGUAAAGCGUGCGUAGGCGGUUUAUUAAGUCAGAUGUGAAAGCCCCGGGCUUAACCUGGGAACUGCAUUUGAAACUGGUCAACUAGAGUAUGGUAGAGGAAAGUGGAAUUUCUGGUGUAGCGGUGAAAUGCGUAGAUAUCAGAAGGAACAUCAAUGGCGAAGGCAGCUUUCUGGACCAAUACUGACGCUGAGGUACGAAAGCGUGGGUAGCAAACAGGAUUAGAUACCCUGGUAAUCCACGCCGUAAACGAUGAUAACUAGCCGUUGGGGGGAUUUACCCUUUAGUGGCGAAGCUAACGCGUUAAGUUAUCCGCCUGGGGAGUACGGCCGCAAGGUUAAAACUCAAAGGAAUUGACGGGGACCCGCACAAGCGGUGGAGCAUGUGGUUUAAUUCGAUGCAACGCGAAGAACCUUACCUGGUCUUGACAUCCUGCGAACUUUCUAGAAAUAGAUUGGUGCCUUCGGGAACGCAGUGACAGGUGCUGCAUGGCUGUCGUCAGCUCGUGUCGUGAGAUGUUGGGUUAAGUCCCGUAACGAGCGCAACCCCUAUCCUUAUUUGCCAGCACAUCAUGGUGGGAACUAUAAGGAGACUGCCGGUGAUAAACCGGAGGAAGGCGGGGACGACGUCAAGUCAUCAUGGCCCUUACGACCAGGGCUACACACGUGCUACAAUGGGAAGGACAAAGAGCCGCGAAGCCGCGAGGUGUAGCUAAUCUCAUAAACCUUUUCGUAGUCCGGAUUGGAGUCUGCAACUCGACUCCAUGAAGUCGGAAUCGCUAGUAAUCGUAGAUCAGAAUGCUACGGUGAAUACGUUCCCGGGUCUUGUACACACCGCCCGUCA
This 1378-nucleotide ribosomal RNA is filed under the name uncultured bacterium. Its description in RNAcentral is "16S ribosomal RNA". It matches the Rfam family "Bacterial small subunit ribosomal RNA", at positions 30 to 1399 of the family's 1533-position model. The record is from RNAcentral.